Molecule: long non-coding RNA, 304 nt
Filed under: Lathyrus oleraceus (garden pea)
Lineage: Eukaryota; Viridiplantae; Streptophyta; Magnoliopsida; Fabales; Fabaceae
Description: Pisum sativum (pea) long non-coding RNA (PSAT_LNC007696)
Source: RNAcentral
AGACUAAAAUUCAAAGAGAUAAAAGACACUUGAAAGAAACUGCGGGAGUUGAAUUUAUAAAAUAUUUCAUUCACUUGAACAACUUUAUAGCAAUUGUUUUCUCUUCUACUUCCUCUUUUUAUUCAUUUUUUCGAAGGAGUAUGUAUUGACAUGUAUUAAAAUAUUACAAACAUAAUUCCUUUUUUUUCUUCCUCUUAUCCUUCUAUUUUUUCAUUCCUUUUUUUUUUAUUUUCUAUUUUCUUUUUCUAUUUUUUUUCUUUUUCUGCCAUUUUCUAAAAUAUUACUAACAUAAUUAUUCAACCCC